Molecule: ribosomal RNA, 305 nt
Filed under: uncultured bacterium
Lineage: Bacteria
Description: bacterial SSU rRNA
Rfam family: Bacterial small subunit ribosomal RNA
Source: RNAcentral
GUGUCCUACGGGGGGCAGCAGUGGGGAAUAUUGGACAAUGGGGGGAACCCUGAUCCAGCGACGCCGCGUGAGUGAAGAAGUAUUUCGGUAUGUAAAGCUCUAUCAGCAGGGAAGAAAGAAAUGACGGUACCUGACUAAGAAGCCCCGGCUAACUACGUGCCAGCAGCCGCGGUAAUACGUAGGGGGCAAGCGUUAUCCGGAUUUACUGGGUGUAAAGGGAGCGUAGACGGUUGUGCAAGUCUGAAGUGAAAGCCCGCGGCUCAACUGCGGAACGGCUUUGGAAACUGUGUAACUGGAGUGCUGGG